CCUACGGGGUGCAGCAGUGAGGAAUAUUGGUCAAUGGCCGGAAGGCUGAACCAGCCAUGCCGCGUGAAGGUCAGUGCCCUAUGGGCGUUAAACUUCUUUUGUGCGGGAGCAAUAAUGGUCACGUGUGGCCAGACGAGAGUACCGUACGAAUAAGCAUCGGCUAACUCCGUGCCAGCAGCCGCGGUAAUACGGGGGAUGCAAGCGUUAUCCGGAUUUAUUGGGUUUAAAGGGUGCGUAGGCUGUGAGGUAAGUCAGCGGGGAAAUGCCCCCGCUCAACGGGGUGAAGUGCCAUUGAUACUGCCUUGCUGGAAUGCGGAUGCCGUGGGAGGAAGGUGUGGUGUAGCGGUGAAAUGCAUAGAUAUCACACAGAACACCGAUUGCGAAGGCAUCUCACGAAUCCGCGAUUGACGCUGAUGCACGAAAGCGUGGGUAUCAAACAGGAUUAGAUACCCUGGUAGUC
RNAcentral lists this ribosomal RNA (460 nucleotides) under uncultured bacterium. Its description in RNAcentral is "partial 16S ribosomal RNA". It matches the Rfam family "Bacterial small subunit ribosomal RNA", at positions 338 to 795 of the family's 1533-position model. The record is from RNAcentral.